CCUACGGGAGGCAGCAGUGAGGAAUAUUGGUCAAUGGGCUUACGCCUGAACCAGCCAAGUCGCGUGAGGGAAGACUGCCCUAUGGGUUGUAAACCUCUUUUGUCAGGGAGCAAUUGGCGCUACGUGUAGCGUUAUCGAGAGUACCUGCAGACAAAGCAACGGCUAACUCCGUUCCAGCAGCCGCGGUAAUACGGAGGAUGCGAGCGUUAUCCGGAUUUAUUGGGUUUAAAGGGUGCGUAGGCGGAAUGCCAAGUCAGCGGUAAAAUCGCGGGGCUCAACCUCGCUCCGCCGUUGAAACUGGCGUUCUGGAGUGGGCGAGAGGUAAGCGGAAUUCGUGGUGUAGCGGUGAAAUGCAUAGAUAUCACGCAGAACUCCGAUUGCGAAGGCAACAUACCGGCGCCCAACUGACGCUGAGGCACGAAAGCGUGGGUAUCGAACAGGAUUAGAUACCCGUGUAGUC
This 460-nucleotide ribosomal RNA is filed under the name uncultured bacterium. Its description in RNAcentral is "partial 16S ribosomal RNA". It matches the Rfam family "Bacterial small subunit ribosomal RNA", at positions 338 to 795 of the family's 1533-position model. The record is from RNAcentral.